AUUGAACGCUGGCGGCAGGCCUAACACAUGCAAGUCGGACGGUAGCACAGAGAGCUUGCUCUUGGGUGACGAGUGGCGGACGGGUGAGUAAUGUCUGGGGAUCUGCCCGAUAGAGGGGGAUAACCACUGGAAACGGUGGCUAAUACCGCAUAACGUCGCAAGACCAAAGAGGGGGACCUUCGGGCCUCUCACUAUCGGAUGAACCCAGAUGGGAUUAGCUAGUAGGCGGGGUAAUGGCCCACCUAGGCGACGAUCCCUAGCUGGUCUGAGAGGAUGACCAGCCACACUGGAACUGAGACACGGUCCAGACUCCUACGGGAGGCAGCAGUGGGGAAUAUUGCACAAUGGGCGCAAGCCUGAUGCAGCCAUGCCGCGUGUAUGAAGAAGGCCUUCGGGUUGUAAAGUACUUUCAGCGGGGAGGAAGGCGGUGCGGUUAAUAACCGCGUCGAAUGACGUUACCCGCAGAAGAAGCACCGGCUAACUCCGUGCCAGCAGCCGCGGUAA
This 504-nucleotide ribosomal RNA is filed under the name uncultured bacterium. RNAcentral describes it as "partial 16S ribosomal RNA". It matches the Rfam family "Bacterial small subunit ribosomal RNA", at positions 29 to 523 of the family's 1533-position model. The record is from RNAcentral.